Molecule: ribosomal RNA, 494 nt
Filed under: uncultured bacterium
Lineage: Bacteria
Description: partial 16S ribosomal RNA
Rfam family: Bacterial small subunit ribosomal RNA
Source: RNAcentral
GACGAACGCUGGCGGCGUGCUUAACACAUGCAAGUCGAACGGAAAGGCCUGCUUUCCCUUGUGGAUUGCGGGUACUCGAGUGGCGAACGGGUGAGUAACACGUGAGUGAUCUGCCCGCAACUUGGGUAUAAGCCUGGGAUACUGGGUCUAAUUCGCGAUAGGACUGCAGGGUGGUGCCUGUGGUGGAAAAGGAUUGUCUAGUGGUUGGGGAUGAGCUGGCGGCCGAUCAGCUUGUUGGUGGGGUAAUGGUCUACCGAGGGGGCGACGGGUAGGCGGCCUGGGGUAGUCGGCGUCAACAGUUGGACUGCGAUACUGCCCAGACUCCUACGGGCAGAAGCAGUCGGGAGUCAUGCGCAAUGAGUGGAAGCCUAAUGCAGCAACGCCGCGUCAGGAAUGACGGCCUUCGGGUUGUAAACUCCGUUCGACCGCGAGGAAUCCACCUGGUUGGAAGGUGAGUGACGGUAGUGGUAGAAGAAGCACCGGCUAACUACGUG